This 460-nucleotide ribosomal RNA is filed under the name uncultured bacterium. RNAcentral's name for it is "partial 16S ribosomal RNA". It matches the Rfam family "Bacterial small subunit ribosomal RNA", at positions 338 to 795 of the family's 1533-position model. The record is from RNAcentral.
CCUACGGGUGGCAGCAGUGAGGAAUAUUGGUCAAUGGGCGCGAGCCUGAACCAGCCAAGUCGCGUGAGGGAAGACGGCCCUACGGGUUGUAAACCUCUUUUGACGGGGAGCAACGGGCACCACGUGUGGCGCCACUGAGAGUAACUGGAGAAAAAGCAUCGGCUAACUCCGUGCCAGCAGCCGCGGUAAUAAGGAGGUUGCGAGCGUUAUCCGGAUUUAUUGGGUUUAAAGGGUGCGUAGGCGGAGCGUUAAGUCAGUGGUCAGAUUGAGGGGCUCAACCCCUUCCCGCCAUUGAAACUGGCGCUCUUGAGUGGAAGAGAAGUAUGCGGAAUGCGUGGUGUAGCGGUGACAUGCAUAGAUAUCACGCAGAACCCCGAUUGCGAAGGCAGCAUGCCGGCUUCCGACUGACGCUGAAGCACGAAAGCGUGGGGAUCGAACAGGAUUAGAUACCCUUGUAGUC